GGUCACAUAGCUCAGUUGGUUAGGGCAUGGUGCUAAUGACACCAAGGUUGCAGGUUCGAUCCCCGCUGCGGACA
Molecule: non-coding RNA, 74 nt
Organism: Lacerta agilis (Sand lizard)
Lineage: Eukaryota; Metazoa; Chordata; Lepidosauria; Squamata; Lacertidae
Source: the annotation of a RefSeq genome assembly